ACCUAAGAAGUUAAAUUAUAAUUUUGAUUUGUGGGAUCAAAGAAGUAGGUAUUCUACCUUAGGUA
RNAcentral lists this transfer RNA (65 nucleotides) under Xya japonica. Its description in RNAcentral is "tRNA-His". The record is from RNAcentral. Lineage: Eukaryota; Metazoa; Arthropoda; Insecta; Orthoptera; Tridactylidae. RNAcentral also lists the same sequence under 1 other name.